ACAACGGCGGAGGCCGCGGGGUUCCCUGACGUGCCAGUCAGGCCUUCUCCCUUUCCGCAAACCGUGUGUUUCUUUACCGCUCUCCCUCGAGACCUUUUAAGGGUUGUUUGGGGUACGGAGUCUCACUUUGUCACCCAGGCUGGAGUGCAGUGGCAGGAUCUCAGCUGACUGCAACCUCCGCCUCACAGGUUCAAGGGAGCUUCUCCUGCCUCAGCCUCCGGAGUAGCUAGGACUAUAGUUUAGAUGCAAAAUCCACGAGUAUUCAAGUGAUUGUUAAAGAGGGAGGCCUGAAAUUGAUUCAGAUCCAAGACAACGGCACUGGGAUCAGGAAAGAAGAUCUGGAUAUUGUAUGUGAAAGGUUCACUACUAGUAAACUGCAGUCCUUUGAGGAUUUAGCCAGUAUUUCUACCUAUGGCUUUCGAGGUGAGG
RNAcentral lists this small RNA (429 nucleotides) under Pongo abelii (Sumatran orangutan). Its description in RNAcentral is "processed transcript". Lineage: Eukaryota; Metazoa; Chordata; Mammalia; Primates; Hominidae. The record is from RNAcentral.